Molecule: non-coding RNA, 21 nt
Filed under: Caenorhabditis elegans
Lineage: Eukaryota; Metazoa; Nematoda; Chromadorea; Rhabditida; Rhabditidae
Source: RNAcentral
UUCCAUCACUCAGAAAUCUGU